CGGCCGCGUCGACGUUUGAUCCUGGGCUCGAGGAUGAACGCGUGGCGGCGUGCUUAACACAUGCAAGUCGAACGAUGAAGCCCAGCUUGCUGGGUGGAUUAGUGGCGAACGGGUGAGUAACACGUGAGUAACCUGCCCUUAACUCUGGGAUAAGCCUGGGAAACUGGGUCUAAUACCGGAUAGGAGCGCCUACCGCAUGGUGGGUGUUGGAAAGAUUUAUCGGUUUUGGAUGGACUCGCGGCCUAUCAGCUUGUUGGUGAGGUAAUGGCUCACCAAGGCGACGACGGGUAGCCGGCCUGAGAGGGUGACCGGCCACACUGGGACUGAGACACGGCCCAGACUCCUACGGGAGGCAGCAGUGGGGAAUAUUGCACAAUGGGCGCAAGCCUGAUGCAGCGACGCCGCGUGAGGGAUGACGGGUCCUUCGGGUUGGUUAAACCUACUUUCGUAGUAGGUAAGGAAGCGAAAGUGACGGUACCGUGCAGAAGAAGCACCGGCGUAACGUACGUCGCCAGCGACGACCGCGGUAACGUACGGUACGGGUGGCGUACGCGUUACG
This 559-nucleotide ribosomal RNA is filed under the name uncultured Micrococcus sp. RNAcentral describes it as "bacterial SSU rRNA". It matches the Rfam family "Bacterial small subunit ribosomal RNA", at positions 1 to 546 of the family's 1533-position model. The record is from RNAcentral. Lineage: Bacteria; Bacillati; Actinomycetota; Actinomycetes; Micrococcales; Micrococcaceae.